Molecule: signal recognition particle RNA, 301 nt
Filed under: Propithecus coquereli (Coquerel's sifaka)
Lineage: Eukaryota; Metazoa; Chordata; Mammalia; Primates; Indriidae
Description: Metazoan signal recognition particle RNA (ENSPCOG00000010972.1)
Rfam family: Metazoan signal recognition particle RNA
About the family: The signal recognition particle (SRP) is a universally conserved ribonucleoprotein. It is involved in the co-translational targeting of proteins to membranes. The eukaryotic SRP consists of a 300-nucleotide 7S RNA and six proteins: SRPs 72, 68, 54, 19, 14, and 9.
Source: RNAcentral
GCCAAGUGUGAUGGCACGUGUCUGUAGUUCCAGCUACCUGAGAGGCUGAAGUGGGAGGAUCACUUGAGCCCAGGAGUUCUGGGCUGUAGUGCACUAUGCCAAUCAGGUGUCCACACUAAGUUUGGCAUCAAUAUGAUGACCUCCUCGGAACAGGGGACCACCAGGUUGCCUUAGGAGGAGUGAACCAGCCCAGUUCUGAAAUGGAGCAGAUCAAAACUCCUUUGUUGGUCAGUAGUUGGAUCAUACCCAUGAAUAGCCACUGUACUCUCCAGCCUGGGCAACGUAGUGAGACCCUGUCUCU